CACGGCCAAAGAGGGANCUUCGGGCCUCUCGCGUCAAGAUAUGCCUAGGUGGGAUUAGCUAGUUGGUGAGGUAAUGGCUCACCAAGGCGACGAUCCCUAGCUGGUCUGAGAGGAUGAUCAGCCACACUGGAACUGAGACACGGUCCAGACUCCUACGGGAGGCAGCAGUGGGGAAUAUUGCACAAUGGGCGAAAGCCUGAUGCAGCCAUGCCGCGUGUAUGAAGAAGGCCUUCGGGUUGUAAAGUACUUUCAGUUGUGAGGAAGGGUGUGUAGUUAAUNNNNGCGCAUCUUGACGUUAGCAA
Molecule: ribosomal RNA, 302 nt
Filed under: uncultured Gammaproteobacteria bacterium
Lineage: Bacteria; Pseudomonadati; Pseudomonadota; Gammaproteobacteria
Description: bacterial SSU rRNA
Rfam family: Bacterial small subunit ribosomal RNA
Source: RNAcentral